Molecule: ribosomal RNA, 438 nt
Filed under: uncultured bacterium
Lineage: Bacteria
Description: bacterial SSU rRNA
Rfam family: Bacterial small subunit ribosomal RNA
Source: RNAcentral
GUCGAGGAUCUUCGGCAAUGGGCGCAAGCCUGACCGAGCGACGCCGCGUGUGCGAUGAAGGCCUUCGGGUUGUAAAGCACUGUCGAGGGGGAGGAAAGCCGGGCAACCGGUCUGACCUAUCCCUGGAGGAAGCACGGGCUAAGUUCGUGCCAGCAGCCGCGGUAAGACGAACCGUGCAAACGUUGUUCGGAUUCACUGGGCUUAAAGGGCGCGUAGGCGGUUUGCCAAGUCAGGGGUGAAAUCCCCCGGCCCAACCGGGGAAGGGCCCCUGAUACUGGUAAUCUGGAGGAAGGUAGGGGCAGAUGGAACUUCCGGUGGAGCGGUGAAAUGCGUAGAUAUCGGAAGGAACGCCGGUGGCGAAAGCGAUCUGCUGGACCUUUACUGACGCUGAGGCGCGAAAGCCAGGGGAGCAAACGGGAUUAGAUACCCUAGUAGUCC